CGCGUAGGCGGUCGGUAAGGUCUCAGGUGAAAGCCCCCAGCUCAACUGGGGAAGUGCCCGGGAUACCAGCCGACUCGAGGGGGGUAGGGGCGUGUGGAACUUCCGGUGGAGCGGUGAAAUGCGUAGAUAUCGGAAGGAACGCCGGUGGCGAAAGCGACACGCUGGACCCCUUCUGACGCUGAGGCGCGAAAGCCAGGGGAGCAAACG
Molecule: ribosomal RNA, 207 nt
Filed under: uncultured bacterium
Lineage: Bacteria
Description: partial 16S ribosomal RNA
Rfam family: Bacterial small subunit ribosomal RNA
Source: RNAcentral